Molecule: transfer RNA, 71 nt
Filed under: Triticum aestivum (bread wheat)
Lineage: Eukaryota; Viridiplantae; Streptophyta; Magnoliopsida; Poales; Poaceae
Description: tRNA_PseudoGCA
Source: RNAcentral
GCGCUGUGGCGUAGUGGCUAGCGCGUGCAGUCGCAGACCUGCAGGUCGCGGGUUCGAAUCCCCCUCGCGCA